Molecule: unclassified non-coding RNA, 234 nt
Filed under: Hevea brasiliensis (rubber tree)
Lineage: Eukaryota; Viridiplantae; Streptophyta; Magnoliopsida; Malpighiales; Euphorbiaceae
Source: RNAcentral
AAGCAAACUACACGCAUAACCGAUAUUAAUGGCUGUUUCCAUCUUAUCCCCGGUCAAAACCCAAAUCUUUAUGCCUGCUUGAGCAAGUUUGUCAAUGCAAUCAGGAACCCCUGGUUGAAGUUUGUCCUCUACAGCAGUAGCACCAAGAAGAAUCAAGUCUUUUUCUAUCUUAUCUGUUACUGCAUCAAUGAUUGCUUCACGGUCUUCACUGACUGAAUUCUUGGCCUCUAAAAA